UACGAAGGGUGCAAGCGUUACUCGGAAUUACUGGGCGUAAAGCGUGCGUAGGUGGUUUUUUAAGUCCGUUGUGAAAGCCCUGGGCUCAACCUGGGAAUGGCAGUGGAUACUGGAAAGCUAGAGUGCGGUAGAGGGUGGUGGAAUUCCCGGUGUAGCAGUGAAAUGCGUAGAGAUCGGGAGGAACACCAGUGGCGAAGGCGGCUACCUGGACCAGCACUGACACUGAGGCACGAAAGCGUGGGGAGCAAACAGG
RNAcentral lists this ribosomal RNA (253 nucleotides) under uncultured bacterium. RNAcentral describes it as "partial 16S ribosomal RNA". It matches the Rfam family "Bacterial small subunit ribosomal RNA", at positions 524 to 776 of the family's 1533-position model. The record is from RNAcentral.